Molecule: long non-coding RNA, 325 nt
Filed under: Elaeis guineensis (African oil palm)
Lineage: Eukaryota; Viridiplantae; Streptophyta; Magnoliopsida; Arecales; Arecaceae
Description: long non-coding RNA (EGUI_LNC037053)
Source: RNAcentral
CUGCAAAAGACUUACAGGAGCAGGAGCAGGAGGAGGAUCUCUAUUGAUUAUUUUUAGUUUUGAUGUAAUAUAUUUAAUUUUGAUAUUUAAACAAUAUUAUCUUAUACAAUUGAAUAAUUUAUAUUUUUUAUAUAAUAUUAAUUUUUUAUUUAUGAUGAUGAUAGUUAAUUGUUAGUUGUUAUAGUGUUUAUAAAUAUAUAUUGAUUGUUAAUUUAAUUAUAAUAGAUUUUAGUAAAUAUAAUUACUUGUUAAUUUAAUUAUAAUAGAUUUUAACCAAUAUAAUUGCUGGAUUUUAAAAAAAAAAAUUUAUUAACGAUGGUAAAUC